This 253-nucleotide ribosomal RNA is filed under the name uncultured bacterium. RNAcentral's name for it is "partial 16S ribosomal RNA". It matches the Rfam family "Bacterial small subunit ribosomal RNA", at positions 524 to 776 of the family's 1533-position model. The record is from RNAcentral.
UACGGAGGGUGCGAGCGUUAAUCGGAAUUACUGGGCGUAAAGGGCGCGUAGGCGGUUUGGUAAGUCGGGUGUGAAAGCCCCGGGCUCAACCUGGGAAUUGCAUUCGAUACUGCCUGGCUAGAGUAUGGUAGAGGGAAGCGGAAUUCCGGGUGUAGCGGUGAAAUGCGUAGAUAUCCGGAGGAACACCAGUGGCGAAGGCGGCUUCCUGGACCAAUACUGACGCUGAGGCGCGAAAGCGUGGGGAUCAAACAGG